GACGAACGCUGGCGGCGUGCUUAACACAUGCAAGUCGAACGGAAAGGCCCUGCUUUUGUGGGGUGCUCGAGUGGCGAACGGGUGAGUAACACGUGAGUAACCUGCCCUUGACUUUGGGAUAACUUCAGGAAACUGGGGCUAAUACCGGAUAGGAGCUCCUGCUGCAUGGUGGGGGUUGGAAAGUUUCGGCGGUUGGGGAUGGACUCGCGGCUUAUCAGCUUGUUGGUGGGGUAGUGGCUUACCAAGGCUUUGACGGGUAGCCGGCCUGAGAGGGUGACCGGCCACAUUGGGACUGAGAUACGGCCCAGACUCCUACGGGAGGCAGCAGUGGGGAAUAUUGCACAAUGGGCGGAAGCCUGAUGCAGCAACGCCGCGUGCGGGAUGACGGCCUUCGGGUUGUAAACCGCUUUCGCCUGUGACGAAGCGUGAGUGACGGUAAUGGGUAAAGAAGCACCGGCUAACUACGUGCCAGCAGCCGCGGUGAUACGUAGGGUGCGAGCGUUGUCCGGAUUUAUUGGGCGUAAAGGGCUCGUAGGUGGUUGAUCGCGUCGGAAGUGUAAUCUUGGGGCUUAACCCUGAGCGUGCUUUCGAUACGGGUUGACUUGAGGAAGGUAGGGGAGAAUGGAAUUCUUGGUGGAGCGGUGGAAUGCGCAGAUAUCAGGAGGAACACCAGUGGCGAAGGCGGUUCUCUGGGCCUUUCCUGACGCUGAGGAGCGAAAGCGUGGGGAGCGAACAGGCUUAGAUACCCUGGUAGUCCACGCUGUAAACGGUGGGUACUAGGUGUGGGGUCCAUUCCACGGGUUCCGUGCCGUAGCUAACGCUUUAAGUACCCCGCCUGGGGAGUACGGCCGCAAGGCUAAAACUCAAAGGAAUUGACGGGGCCCCGCACAAGCGGCGGAGCAUGCGGAUUAAUUCGAUGCAACGCGUAGAACCUUACCUGGGUUUGACAUGGAUCGGGAGUGCUCAGAGAUGGGUGUGCCUCUUUUGGGGUCGGUUCACAGGUGGUGCAUGGCUGUCGUCAGCUCGUGUCGUGAGAUGUUGGGUUAAGUCCCGCAACGAGCGCAACCCUUGUUCACUGUUGCCAGCACGUUAUGGUGGGGACUCAGUGGAGACCGCCGGGGUCAACUCGGAGGAAGGUGGGGAUGACGUCAAGUCAUCAUGCCCCUUAUGUCCAGGGCUUCACGCAUGCUACAAUGGCUGGUACAGAGAGUGGCGAGCCUGUGAGGGUGAGCGAAUCUCGGAAAGCCGGUCUCAGUUCGGAUUGGGGUCUGCAACUCGACCUCAUGAAGUCGGAGUCGCUAGUAAUCGCAGAUCAGCAACGCUGCGGUGAAUACGUUCCCGGG
Molecule: ribosomal RNA, 1343 nt
Filed under: uncultured bacterium
Lineage: Bacteria
Description: 16S ribosomal RNA
Rfam family: Bacterial small subunit ribosomal RNA
Source: RNAcentral